Etheostoma spectabile (orangethroat darter) is the source of this 87-nucleotide long non-coding RNA. RefSeq lists it as uncharacterized. The record is from RefSeq and is a predicted model, not a curated record. NCBI's taxonomy places the organism in Eukaryota, Metazoa, Chordata, Actinopteri, Perciformes, Percidae. The transcript is spliced from 3 exons.
AGUUUCUGGUUUGACCACCAGCUGCAUUAAGUACUGCAGUGCAUCACCUCCCCAUGUACUGCACCAGACUGGCCAGUUCUUGCGGUU